AUUGAACGCUGGCGGCAGGCCUAACACAUGCAAGUCGAACGGUAACAGGAAGAAGCUUGCUUCUUUGCUGACGAGUGGCGGACGGGUGAGUAAUGUCUGGGAAACUGCCUGAUGGAGGGGGAUAACUACUGGAAACGGUAGCUAAUACCGCAUAACGUCGCAAGACCAAAGAGAGGGACCUUCGGGCCUCUUGCCAUCGGAUGUGCCCAGAUGGGAUUAGCUAGUAGGUGGGGUAACGGCUCACCUAGGCGACGAUCCCUAGCUGGUCUGAGAGGAUGACCAGCCACACUGGAACUGAGACACGGUCCAGACUCCUACGGGAGGCAGCAGUGGGGAAUAUUGCACAAUGGGCGCAAGCCUGAUGCAGCCAUGCCGCGUGUAUGAAGAAGGCCUUCGGGUUGUAAAGUACUUUCAGCGGGGAGGAAGGGAGUAAAGUUAAUACCUUUACUCAUUGACGUUACCCGCAGAAGAAGCACCGGCUAACUCCGUG
Molecule: ribosomal RNA, 490 nt
Filed under: uncultured bacterium
Lineage: Bacteria
Description: partial 16S ribosomal RNA
Rfam family: Bacterial small subunit ribosomal RNA
Source: RNAcentral